This is a non-coding RNA of Chiloscyllium plagiosum (whitespotted bambooshark), 264 nucleotides long. The record is from RefSeq and is a predicted model, not a curated record. Lineage: Eukaryota; Metazoa; Chordata; Chondrichthyes; Orectolobiformes; Hemiscylliidae.
GUCAGUCACAGCUCUGAAAACAGUAAGAAAAAUAAAGGCAAGUUCAGUACUCCAAAGUCAAAACCUCAUUCAGAAGCUGAUAAGAAGUCUUUGGGUAAUGGGCAAACAGAACAGAACACUAUUUAAAAAAUACAGAACCUUGGAGAAGAAGGGAAUGUGCCCAUCUUAGUUGCUCAGAGGGUAUUUAAGAGUUAACCACAUUGCUAUGGGCCUGGAGUCACAUGCCAGUCAGACCAGGUGGGGAGGCGAUGGCCUAGUGGUAUC